GACCACCACCAGUGCCAGGCUGAGGUGGGCAGCGUGCUAGGACAGUGGGCAGUCAUGGGCACCACCAGUGCUGAGCUGGGCAGCAUGCUAGGACAGUGGGCAGUCAUGGGCACCACCAGUGCCAGGCUGAGGUGGGCAGCAUGCUAGGACAGACAGUGGGCAGUCAUGGGCACCACCAGUGCCAGGCUGAGCUGGGCAGCAUGCUGGAACAGUGGGCAGUCAUGGGCACUGCCAGUGCUGAGCUGCUACCCGCAUGAUGUACCCUGGACUAUGUAGCCAGGAUCUCGGGGCCGUCACGGGGGUCUGUCAUUCUAACCUCCUGUUCUCCCAUUCACACCUGCAAGCUGAGGUGUGUG
Long non-coding RNA from Erpetoichthys calabaricus (reedfish), 356 nucleotides. RefSeq lists it as uncharacterized. The record is from RefSeq and is a predicted model, not a curated record. NCBI's taxonomy places the organism in Eukaryota, Metazoa, Chordata, Cladistia, Polypteriformes, Polypteridae. The transcript is spliced from 3 exons.